Molecule: long non-coding RNA, 389 nt
Organism: Amphimedon queenslandica
Lineage: Eukaryota; Metazoa; Porifera; Demospongiae; Haplosclerida; Niphatidae
Exons: 3
Source: RefSeq, a predicted model, not a curated record
UACACUAAUCCAGCAGCUGCAUUGUCAUUAGAAUUUAUCAUUUGUUUAUAGAAUUAUUCCUUUUAGUAUUUGUUUUUAUUUUGUUUGGAUUUGAUAUCAGUGUAAACCCAACUAAAAAUAUUUCGUUUUUGUUUAAAAUGUAAUCGUGUAAAUGUGGCCUAAAUUAAAAAUACAUUUAAGGAAAUGUAGGAAGCUCUAUGUCCAUGGAUAAUGAACUAAAGGCUCCAUUUCUAGGCUGCUGAAGUUGAGGCUGAAGGCUCUGGACUUAUGAGUAAUUUGAUCUAAUUGAUAAUCAUGGUGUGUGCAUACGAGUGUUAGGUGAUAUUAAAUUAUUACCAACUGAUGUACAAGAAUCAGUAGCAAGAGCUGUGAUCAUGACUAAAAACAAU